Molecule: long non-coding RNA, 233 nt
Filed under: Lathyrus oleraceus (garden pea)
Lineage: Eukaryota; Viridiplantae; Streptophyta; Magnoliopsida; Fabales; Fabaceae
Description: Pisum sativum (pea) long non-coding RNA (PSAT_LNC026146)
Source: RNAcentral
UCAAACCCGUCUUUAAAACCCAAAAAACUUUCAGAAUAACACCGUUUUCUUUUGCAAAAAAUUUUUUUGGUAGGGCUAAAGGAAUGGGGAGAUUAGACUGUACUAAAGAUACACUAUAUUGGUGACUCGUCAGACUCAUGCAUUAUCUAAAACACUUAUACCAGAAACAAAAUGAAACGAAGUAAACAACUAAAAAGCAAUAAAAAUAAACAAACUAACUAAAAACAACAAAG